This 484-nucleotide ribosomal RNA is filed under the name uncultured bacterium. Its description in RNAcentral is "partial 16S ribosomal RNA". It matches the Rfam family "Bacterial small subunit ribosomal RNA", at positions 30 to 507 of the family's 1533-position model. The record is from RNAcentral.
AUUGAACGCUGGCGGCAGGCCUAACACAUGCAAGUCGAGCGGAUGAAGGGAGCUUGCUCCUGGAUUCAGCGGCGGACGGGUGAGUAAUGCCUAGGAAUCUGCCUGGUAGUGGGGGAUAACGUCCGGAAACGGGCGCUAAUACCGCAUACGUCCUGAGGGAGAAAGUGGGGGAUCUUCGGACCUCACGCUAUCAGAUGAGCCUAGGUCGGAUUAGCUAGUUGGUGGGGUAAAGGGCUACCAAGGCGACGAUCCGUAACUGGUCUGAGAGGAUGAUCAGUCACACUGGAACUGAGACACGGUCCAGACUCCUACGGGAGGCAGCAGUGGGGAAUAUUGGACAAUGGUCGAAAGCCUGAUCCAGCCAUGCCGCGUGUGUGAAGAAGGUCUUCGGAUUGUAAAGCACUUUAAGUUGGGAGGAAGGGCAGUAAGUUAAGACCUUGCUGUUUUGACGGUACCAACAGAAUAAGCACCGGCUAACUUCGUG